Molecule: ribosomal RNA, 489 nt
Filed under: uncultured soil bacterium
Lineage: Bacteria
Description: bacterial SSU rRNA
Rfam family: Bacterial small subunit ribosomal RNA
Source: RNAcentral
AGAGUUUGAUCCUGGCUCAGGACGAACGCUGGCGGCGUGCCUAAUACAUGCAAGUCGAGCGAUUUCCACCUUCGGGUGGGAGUAGCGGCGGACGGGUGAGUAACACGUAGGUAACCUACCACUAAGACUGGGAUAACUACCGGAAACGGUAGCUAAGACCGGAUACGCCUGCGGGGAGGCAUCUCCCUGCAGGGAAAAGCGGAGCAAUCUGCUGCUUACUGAUGGGCCUGCGGCGCAUUAGCUAGUUGGUGAGGUAGAGGCUCACCAAGGCGACGAUGCGUAGCCGACCUGAGAGGGUGAACGGCCACACUGGGACUGAGACACGGCCCAGACUCCUACGGGAGGCAGCAGUAGGGAAUCUUCGGCAAUGGACGAAAGUCUGACCGAGCAACGCCGCGUGAGUGAUGAAGGUUUUCGGAUCGUAAAACUCUGUUACCAGGGAAGAAAGGCCAGGCGAGUAACUGCGCUUGGAUUGACGGUACCUGAGAA